AGGAUGAACGCUGGCGGCGUGCUUAACACAUGCAAGUCACGGGGGGUUUGAGGCGCAAGCCUUGGGCAACCGGCGAACGGGUGCGUAACACGUGAGCAACCUACCGAAAUGAGGGGGAUAGCCGGCCCAACGGCCGGGUAAUACCGCAUACGCUCGAGACCAGGCAUUUGGACUCGAGGAAACCUCGGGGCAUUUCGAGGGGCUCGCGGCCUAUCAGCUAGUUGGUGAGGUAACGGCUCACCAAGGCGACGACGGGUAGCUGGUCUGAGAGGAUGGCCAGCCACAUUGGGACUGAGAUACGGCCCAGACUCCUACGGGAGCAGCAGUGGGAAUCUGCGCAAUGGCCUAACGGCUGACGCAGCGACGCCGCGUGAGGAUGACGCUCGUUCGGAGUCGUUAAACCUUCCUUUUUGCCUUGGGACGUAAUUGCCAGCAUCGAGCUGGCUUACGGACGGUUACCGGAGAAGUAACGCCGACCGG
Molecule: ribosomal RNA, 480 nt
Filed under: uncultured soil bacterium
Lineage: Bacteria
Description: bacterial SSU rRNA
Rfam family: Bacterial small subunit ribosomal RNA
Source: RNAcentral